Molecule: ribosomal RNA, 497 nt
Filed under: uncultured bacterium
Lineage: Bacteria
Description: partial 16S ribosomal RNA
Rfam family: Bacterial small subunit ribosomal RNA
Source: RNAcentral
GAUGAACGCUGGCGGCGUGCCUAAUACAUGCAAGUCGAGCGAACGGACGAGAAGCUUGCUUCUCUGAUGUUAGCGGCGGACGGGUGAGUAACACGUGGAUAACCUACCUAUAAGACUGGGAUAACUUCGGGAAACCGGAGCUAAUACCGGAUAAUAUUUUGAACCGCAUGGUUCAAAAGUGAAAGACGGUCUUGCUGUCACUUAUAGAUGGAUCCGCGCUGCCUUAGCUAGUUGGUAAGGUAACGGCUUACCAAGGGAACGAUGCAUUGCCGACCUGGGAGGGUGAUCGGCCACCCGGGACCUGUAACACGGUCCAGACUCCUGCGGGUGGCCGCCAUCGGGAAUCUUCCGCGAUGGGCGCACGCCUUGAGGAGCAACGUCGCGGCUGUGCAGAAGGUCUUCGGAUCGUAAAACUCUGUUAUUAGGGACGAACAUAUGUGUAAGUACCUGUGCACAUCUUGACGGUACCUAAUCAGAAAGCCACGGCUAACUACGUG